Long non-coding RNA from Pipistrellus kuhlii (Kuhl's pipistrelle), 960 nucleotides. RefSeq lists it as uncharacterized. The transcript has 2 exons. Lineage: Eukaryota; Metazoa; Chordata; Mammalia; Chiroptera; Vespertilionidae. The record is from RefSeq and is a predicted model, not a curated record.
UGGUUUUUAUUUAUCUGUUUAGUCAAGCAAGUGAUAAUGCCCCAUGCCAGUUCUUCAGCUUUUCAAAAUCAAAUAUUAGGAACAAAUGCUUCUCCAAAUAGAAGAUAAAAAUGGACCCGGCAGUUUUGUUGUUAAUCACUCUAGCUGGGAAUACUUGCCUAGUUAUCCAACAAAGAUGUUACACUCAAUGAGGGAAAGAAAGUUGUCUAUGCCUUCAAAAGGUUUAUAAUCUAGUUGGUCUGGUCAGGGUGUGAUUGUCAUGGCAUGUUAUGGGAGGCAGGAUCUAAUAAAUGUCCUUGGGGAAGAACAAAUAAAAUGUGAGGGGAAUUCAGUCAGGAAAGGAAUUGAACCGUUUUCUGGGAUUGGGGAAAUGAAGGAAAAAUUCCAUUGUGCAUAAAAUGCAUCUUAUCUACUUACUUGUUACCCUGGAUUUUUUUUUUUUUUUAGGGCACUUUUUUUUUUUUUUUAAGCUUUUAUCCCAUCUCUGAUAUUCAUUCUGUUCUUGUGCCUUAUAUCUUUUGCUUUCAUUUGUUAGCCUCUUUCUUCCCCGGUGGUUUUGCCCACUAAAAAUAGAUGAACAAUUGGUCUGAAGCUGCAAGGGAGCCAAGAUGAUGCAAAGGCUCUGUAGAAAAUCUAUGCCGUGGACCAUGAGCGGUGGGGCUGUGAGCUGUGAGCUGACCUAGAUGCAAGAUGACCGAGGAGAACAAAAUGUCUAAAUCAUUGUUCCAAAAACACAGCAAUAAACAUAUUUUCCAAGUGUUGGAGAAUGAGGUCAGAAAAGAGUUUUGGACUUGCCAACUUAUUUAGAGAAAACUUCUCGCUGAGAAGUAAACAAUAAGUCACAGUGUUUAUGCAUAUUCCAAAACUGUUAUUGAAAGCAAUGAAACAGCCCAAAAUUGAGGCUAUCAAAGCAAAUCUUGGGCUUUGGAGCAUUAUUUCUUCAUUGAUGAAACUGUAAAA